CUUUGCUCCCCUGUGGCACGGGGUCCCAUACCUUCUCUGGCUCUGUCUGUCACUAACACGCAUGCCUGUUAUUUUUCCUCGUCUACCUGCUCUCUUGCCCCUUCUCCUGUCCUGGCUCCUUCCUGGCCCUCUACCCCUGCCUGGUGCCUUCCCCUCUCUCCCUCCCUUCCCCAUCCUGGCAAUCUCUGGACCCAGCCAAACAGAAGCAGAAGUCGACAGAGCACGUGCCCCCCUAUGACGUGGUGCCUUCCAUGAGGCCCAUCAUCCUGGUGGGACCAUCGCUCAAGGGCUAUGAGGUAACUGACAUGAUGCAGAAGGCGUUGUUUGACUUCUUGAAGCAUCGGUUUGAUGGCAGGUAGGACCCUGAGAGUUGACUCUCCACUCGACUGUGGCUCCUUCCUCCCACUUGGGGGUACCCAGGAUGUCUAAAGGGACCACCCUGGGACUUUUAGACAGAGACGAGGGCGGCAGGCCUGGAGUCUGUGAGUGGACGGUAUGUUCUUGCCCACC
RNAcentral lists this long non-coding RNA (510 nucleotides) under Rattus norvegicus (Norway rat). RNAcentral's name for it is "long non-coding RNA NONRATT005967". Lineage: Eukaryota; Metazoa; Chordata; Mammalia; Rodentia; Muridae. The record is from RNAcentral.